RNAcentral lists this ribosomal RNA (429 nucleotides) under uncultured bacterium. RNAcentral describes it as "partial 16S ribosomal RNA". It matches the Rfam family "Bacterial small subunit ribosomal RNA", at positions 338 to 795 of the family's 1533-position model. The record is from RNAcentral.
CCUACGGGGGGCUGCAGUAACGAAUCUUCCGCAAUGUACGAAAGUAUGACGGAGCGACGCCGCGUGUAGGACGAAGCCCUUCGGGGUGUAAACUACUGUCAGGGGUUAGAUCGACCCCAGAGGAAGGCACGGCUAACUCUGUGCCAGCAGCCGCGGUAAGACAGAGGUGCCAAGCGUUAGGCGGAAUCACUGGGCUUAAAGCGUGUGUAGGCGGAAUUGUAAGUACCUUGUGAAAUCCCACGGCUCAACCGUGGAACUGCUUGGUAUACUGCGAUUCUUGGGCCAAUUAGGGGCAGCCGGAACAAAUGGUGGAGCGGUGAAAUGCGUAGAUAUCAUUUGGAACGCCAAGGGCGAAAGCAGGCUGCUGGAUGUGCCGACGCUGAGACACGAAAGCCAGGGGAGCAAACGGGAUUAGAUACCCUUGUAGUC